Long non-coding RNA from Raphanus sativus (radish), 1452 nucleotides. RefSeq lists it as uncharacterized. The transcript has 4 exons. NCBI's taxonomy places the organism in Eukaryota, Viridiplantae, Streptophyta, Magnoliopsida, Brassicales, Brassicaceae. The record is from RefSeq and is a predicted model, not a curated record.
UGCGUCUCCUCAUGGGAUCUUUCAUCUUCUUCUUUCUGGUGUGAGAUGAGACCAGAAACCGAUCUCCCUUCAUAAAGCUCUCCAUUAAUCAACCACACAUGAUCUUAUUGAAAGCGACACUUGAGACUGCAAGGCGGUGGACGUUUUGCUAUAAAAAGACUGGCCGCUCUUCCUCUCCCGUUCAAGUUCGCCUGCUCCCUUUAUAAGAGGCGAGGAACGUCAGCCGUGGUGGAAAGAUGAUGAGAGUCAGACAUGCUCCUUCCUGAUUCUCAGCUGGCAGAUAAACUCAAAGAGAGAAAACAGAAGCUAGAGAAUCAGGAAGAGAGAGGUUCAAGUUGUGCUCCUUGGACAAGGACUUGGAGGUUUUUGAUCCGAAUACUCACAACUCCAAUGUAAGGUCUCUCAACCACAAUUGUACAGGUUCAGCUGGGUACACAAGUCUAAGAUAUCUUGAGAGCUCAUCAGCGGAAAAGUUCGGGUCUAGAAAGACGAGACAGAAACAUUCAAGACCUGAAACAAGAGCAGGAGCAACCAAGUCCUGUCUCUGUUCUAGAGAGGAUACGUCUAGAAGAAGAAACAGUAGAAGAGAAGAUUAGAUUACUAUCUUUUGAUGAUUCAGGCAUGAAUCUUCUAGAGAAGGACUCAGUUCACAAGUUUGUGAAGAAAGUUCUUGAUGCUUCAAGACUGAACUGGACUAAUCUCAUGGCAAGAUGCAACGAAGAAACAUCAACCGUAAUUCUCACACGGAGAUCACAACAACGGUAAGCUUCUUCUGGUUCUUGAUUACACGUCAAUCUACCAAUAUUCUUCCUUUAGAUAAGACCUGAUUCACGAGACGCUGAGACGUUUUGACUGUGGUUUACUCUGCUGUGACACUCCAAGAACGUUGGAUCAGAUCAUUGAGACUGAUGUGGUAAAGCCAUCAUGUGUUGGUCGGGUAACGGUGGUGAAGCUGAAGGUCUUUAUCUGUACCGGAAGAGUAACUGAAAUAAAGGUUGAGAAGGGAUGGUGCUAUGUUUCCUGCUCAAACUGAGCCAACAAACUUCCCCGCACAGUCUCAUCUUUCCCAUGUUUUCCUUGCAACAAUACCAGUGCAGUUGGUGGCCUCCGCUAUGUGCUAAUUUCCGGCAACUUAUUCAGUUACAUUAAACUUCUGACCUAGCGCAAACUCACCUUUAGGAUUUGAUGCAUGUUCUCUGUCCACUAGGUACCGUGUGGAGAUGUGCGUUGCAGAUGAAACUGGUGAAGCUUUGUUUGUCUGUUUCGAUGGGGUAAUGACCGAACUUCACAACAUGAGGGCCUAUGAAGCUGACCAUCUUUUGGGUGUUUUUUUAAUUGCUUAAGCCGUUUAUGUUGUUUUUUCUUUUCAUUUUCGAGUGUUUGCUUUAUGAACAAGUUUUUUUUCACUCUUUGCUACUUCUAUAAUUUUGUUUUUUUUAAAACCAAAUAUAA